This 254-nucleotide ribosomal RNA is filed under the name uncultured bacterium. Its description in RNAcentral is "partial 16S ribosomal RNA". It matches the Rfam family "Bacterial small subunit ribosomal RNA", at positions 524 to 776 of the family's 1533-position model. The record is from RNAcentral.
UACGUAGGGGGCGAGCGUUGUCCGGAUUUAUUGGGCGUAAGGAGCUCGUAGGCGGCUUAGCAAGUCGGGUGUGAAAACUCCAGGCUCAACCUGGAGACGCCACUCGAGACUGCUAUGGCUAGAGUCCGGUAGGGGACCACGGAAUUCCUGGUGUAGCGGUGAAAUGCGCAGAUAUCAGGAGGAACACCGGUGGCGAAGGCAGCUCGCUGGGACGUUACUGACGCUGAGACGCGAAAGCGUGGGGAGCAAACAGG